GAUGAACGCUGGCGGCGUGCCUAAUACAUGCCAGUCGAGCGAACAGAUGAGGAGCUUGCUCCUCUGACGUUAGCGGCGGACGGGUGAGUAACACGUGGAUAACCUACCUAUAAGACUGGGAUAACUUCGGGAAACCGGAGCUAAUACCGGAUAAUAUAUUGAACCGCAUGGUUCAAUAGUGAAAGACGGUUUUGCUGUCACUUAUAGAUGGAUCCGCGCCGCAUUAGCUAGUUGGUAAGGUAACGGCUCACCAAGGCAACGAUGCGUAGCCGACCUGAGAGGGUGAUCGGCCACACUGGAACUGAGACACGGUCCAGACUCCUACGGGAGGCAGCAGUAGGGAAUCUUCCGCAAUGGGCGAAAGCCUGACGGAGCAACGCCGCGUGAGUGAUGAAGGUCUUCGGAUCGUAAAACUCUGUUAUUAGGGAAGAACAAAUGUGUAAGUAACUAUGCACGUCUUGACGGUACCUAAUCAGAAAGCCACGGCUAACUACGUG
This 497-nucleotide ribosomal RNA is filed under the name uncultured bacterium. RNAcentral describes it as "partial 16S ribosomal RNA". It matches the Rfam family "Bacterial small subunit ribosomal RNA", at positions 28 to 507 of the family's 1533-position model. The record is from RNAcentral.